AUUGAACGCUGGCGGCAGGCCUAAAACAUGCAAGUCGAGCGAGCGGCGGACGGGUGAGUAAUGUAUGGGGACUGCCCGAUAGAGGGGGAUAAAUACUGGAAACGGUGGAUAAUACCGCAUACUAUCGGAUAACCGAUAUGGGAUUAGCUAGUAGGUGGGGUAAAGGUUCACCUAGGCGACGAUCUCUAGCUGGUAUGAGAGGAGGAUCAGCCACACUGUGACGUAGACACGGCCCAGACUCCUACGGAGUCAGCAGUGGGGAAUAUUGCACAAUGGGCGAAAGCCUGAUGCAGCCAUGCCGCGUGUAUGAAGAAGGCCUUAGGGUUGUAAAGUACUUUCAGCGGGGAGGCGUUACCCUCAGAAGAAGCACCGGCUAACUCCGUGCCAGCAGCCGCGGUAAUAC
Molecule: ribosomal RNA, 403 nt
Filed under: uncultured bacterium
Lineage: Bacteria
Description: partial 16S ribosomal RNA
Rfam family: Bacterial small subunit ribosomal RNA
Source: RNAcentral